ACACAGGUGGCCAUACCUCCAGAGAAGUACUUCAGCGGUAGAAGACUCAAGCGGCUGGUCCUCCAGAGGACCUCGAGAGGAGCAUGUUGGCAGAAAAACACACCGACAGACAUCUGCACGCCUGCAGGCCAUUGAUUGAGGGGACUAGGCGGAGUUUGGCCGGGGCUGUUGGAGGAGAGCCGGGGCCACCUAGCGGCCCAAUUCCAGGGGAAAAUCGUCUGCCUCUGGCUCCUCCAUCAGCUGAGAGCUACUUCCACUCAAUAAAACUUUGUACUCUUUCUCCAGUCCCGCAUGUGAUCCGAUUCUUCCGGUACACCAAGGCAAGAACCCGGGAUACAGAAAGCCCUCUGUCCUUGCGACAAGGUAGAGGUUCUAAUUGAGCGGACUUACACAAGACACCUAUAGACGGCAAAUUAAAAGAGCACCCUGUAACACACGCCCACUGGGGCUUCAGGAGCUGUAAACGUUCACCCCUAGACACUGCCGUGGAGUCAAGAGCCCCACAGCCUGCCCAUCUGUAUGCUCCCCUAGAAGUUUGAGCAGCGGGGCACUGAAGAAGCAAGCCACACCCACAUCGCACGCCCUGCGAGGGGGAUGACGGAACCUUUCCCGUUUCAAUAUGACCAUAGGCUCAAUUUUCCUACAUAAUUAAGAGUUUGGAAUUCGGGCAAUAUCAAGAACCACAUCUGUCCUGAAAUCAAUUAUCUCUGUUUGUGAAAUACAGAGCAAGGACAUGCCUGAGAGUGAACAUGAGGGAGGAGAUACUAGAGACCUGGAGAGGAGGAAAUAUGAAUCAUACAUUAUUCUAGAUAAUUGAGAGAGUGAACGGAAGUACAGAACAAUCGAGCACUAAAAAAAAUUGAAGUUUGUGCUCAUAAAUGUAAAGUGAGUUCAGAAACACUCUGUGUGUCUGUGUGUGUGUGUGUGUGUGUUUCUUCAACUUUAUUCAGAGCAA
This 955-nucleotide long non-coding RNA is filed under the name Homo sapiens (human). Its description in RNAcentral is "non-protein coding lnc-KLHL32-4:47". Lineage: Eukaryota; Metazoa; Chordata; Mammalia; Primates; Hominidae. The record is from RNAcentral.